AGCGGCGCAAGGGUGCGUAACACGUGGGUAAUCUGCCGUGAAGUCUGGGAUAACUUGCUGAAAGGCGAGCUAAUACCGGAUGUGACCACGGCAUCUAAAGUUGCGCUUCAUGAUGAACCCGCGGCCUAUCAGCUAGUUGGUGAGGUAACGGCCCACCAAGGCGAAGACGGGUAGCUGGUCUGAGAGGACGACCAGCCACACUGGAACUGAGACACGGUCCAGACACCUACGGGUGGCAGCAGUCGAGAAUUUUUCACAAUGGGCGAAAGCCUGAUGGAGCGACGCCGCGUGGGGGAUGAAUGGCUUCGGCCCGUAAACCCCUGUCAUUCGCGACAACUGAUAGUAGCGGACGAGGAAGGGACGGCUAACUCUGUGC
This 376-nucleotide ribosomal RNA is filed under the name uncultured soil bacterium. RNAcentral's name for it is "bacterial SSU rRNA". It matches the Rfam family "Bacterial small subunit ribosomal RNA", at positions 94 to 508 of the family's 1533-position model. The record is from RNAcentral.